RNAcentral lists this long non-coding RNA (555 nucleotides) under Phoenix dactylifera (date palm). Its description in RNAcentral is "long non-coding RNA (PDAC_LNC021358)". The record is from RNAcentral. Lineage: Eukaryota; Viridiplantae; Streptophyta; Magnoliopsida; Arecales; Arecaceae.
CUGUCCUUUCCCUUGCCAUCUUCUAUUUUAGGCUUUUAUUCCACUUGGGUUUCAAAGGGGGUCGUGAGGAGGGUAAGCACAAAUUCUAAUUCAAUUUGGAUAGAGUGGCUGAUUUCAAAUCUGAACUAUCAAAUCAAUUUUUUUGAGGAGGUUGUGCUACAUAAUUCUUUUUCGUUUCUAUAAAAUUAUUUAGUGGUGUUAUACUGUUAAGGAUCAUUAAUUGAAUCUCGCAUGAGAAAAUCUGAUUUCUAUCUUAUUACCAAAAGCUGGACAAUAAGCAGCCAUGAGCAGCUUGUAAUAAAAAAUAAUAUUAAAAUAAUAAAAGCAGAAGCUGAUCGAUGCGUCUGUCUAGUUACUGGUUGUCCUCUUGAUUUGAAACUAGCUCUAGAUAUAAAUCCAUCAUGUCAAUCAACCCAUGGCGUCGCAGGCCCGCUUGUCGUCGAAUGAAGAGGUUUCGGAAAAAAGUGGCGUUGCAGCGCACUUUUCAGAGCAUUAUUGAUCACGAAUGCUAUGCCCCUCACAGAUAGUGAUAAAGAAUAUAUAUAUAUAUAUAUA